CGGAGCGGGUGAGUAACACGUGAGCAACCUACCUUACACAGGGGGAUAGCCGUUGGAAACGACGAUUAAUACCGCAUGAGACCACAGAAUCGCAUGAUAUAGGGGUCAAAGAUUUAUCGGUGUAAGAAGGGCUCGCGUCUGAUUAGCUAGUUGGAAGGGUAAAGGCCUACCAAGGCGACGAUCAGUAGCCGGUCUGAGAGGAUGAACGGCCACAUUGGAACUGAGACACGGUCCAA
RNAcentral lists this ribosomal RNA (236 nucleotides) under uncultured bacterium. RNAcentral's name for it is "partial 16S ribosomal RNA". It matches the Rfam family "Bacterial small subunit ribosomal RNA", at positions 100 to 334 of the family's 1533-position model. The record is from RNAcentral.